This 378-nucleotide ribosomal RNA is filed under the name uncultured bacterium. Its description in RNAcentral is "bacterial SSU rRNA". It matches the Rfam family "Bacterial small subunit ribosomal RNA", at positions 1006 to 1384 of the family's 1533-position model. The record is from RNAcentral.
AUGGCUUGGUGCUCGAAAGAGAACCGUAACACAGGUGCUGCAUGGCUGUCGUCAGCUCGUGUCGUGAGAUGUUGGGUUAAGUCCCGCAACGAGCGCAACCCUUGUCAUUAGUUGCUACAUUUAGUUGGGCACUCUAAUGAGACUGCCGGUGACAAACCGGAGGAAGGUGGGGAUGACGUCAAGUCCUCAUGGCCCUUAUAGGUAGGGCUACACACGUCAUACAAUGGAUGGUACAAAGGGUCGCCAACCCGCGAGGGGGAGCCAAUCCCAUAAAGCCAUUCGUAGUCCGGAUCGCAGUCUGCAACUCGACUGCGUGAAGUCGGAAUCGCUAGUAAUCRUGGAUCAGAAUGUCACGGUGAAUACGUUCCCGGGCCUUGU